This 2230-nucleotide long non-coding RNA is filed under the name Homo sapiens (human). RNAcentral's name for it is "HSALNT0078565". The record is from RNAcentral. Lineage: Eukaryota; Metazoa; Chordata; Mammalia; Primates; Hominidae.
GUAAGCAUUCUUUUUUUUUUUUAUUUUGUGAUGGAGUCUCGCUCUGUCACCCAGGCUGGAGUGCAGUGGCUCAAUCUUGGCUCACUGCAACCUCCACCUCCCAGGUUCAAACAAUUCUCCUGCCUUAGCCCCCGAGCACCUGGAAUUACAGACAUCCACCACCACAUCCGGCUAAUUUUUGUAUUUUUAGUAGAGAUGGGAUUUCGCCUUGUUGGCCAGGCUGGUCUCAAACUCCUGACCUCAGGUGAUGUACCUGCCUCAGCCACCCAAAGUGCUAGGAUUACAAGCGAGAGCCACGGCACCCAGCCCAGCAAUAAAAACCUGCUCCUGAUUACAAGGAUAUGUCGAUUGCAGGGAGGCAGAGGAAGAAAUACAACAGGAUGUCUAUCGAACACAACUUUGGAGUAAGACCUUGGGACCCAACUCCUGUUUGCUUCAUAUACAAGCUUUGAGACGUGAUGAGUUUGCCUCGAUUCUCUAAGCCUCAGUUUCCUCAUCUGUUGUUGUGAGGGAAAUAAUGCAUGGAAAGCUUUUAACACAAUGGCUGGCACACAGUGAAAGUGCAAGACGUUAACCAUUAUCAUGAGAGUUUUCAAUUGGAAUGAAUAGGAGACUUAAAUUUGCAUGAUUGUACUUUUACACUAAGCCAUUAAUGAUGCAUUCAUUUAGUUUUCUACUCCCAAAGAACAUAGAUUUGAUUAAUUAUAACAAGAAUUUAAAAAUAUUUCCAUUAUUCAGAAAUAACCUACAGAGUCUAAGCCUGUCCUUUCCUUCCUCCCUUUUUCCCAAUCUUUUUUUUUUUUUUUUUUUUUUGAAAGAAAUAGCAAUUAUGUAGUCAGAUUCACUGGCUCUUUCUUCUUCUCCCUGGUAACAGGCUAAGUCUUAACCUUGAUUAGGCAGCAUCGCAUCUGAUCUAAGUUCUUCCCAGCUUUCAGCCCAGCCUGCUUCCCCAGGCUUCAGAGCGCAGCUCUGCACCACCCUCUCCACCCCUGCUUAGCAUCAGAACAUUGCCAAAGCUAAGCAUCUAUGCAAUGUUUCUUUUGAAUAGUUGUCUACCUACUUGGAUAUUUUUUUCCUUCUCCCAGAGGCAAAAAUUGGACCACUUAAUCUAUGCUGUAGGACAGUCUUGCCCCUCAGAAAAUACUUGAGCAUAUUAAGUUGUUAUGAAAUGGAUCUGAGAAGCAGAGUUCUGAACCAUGCCCGUGAAUUUCCCAGCCUCAUCACACUGGCAUUCUUUCAUAGCCCCGAAAUACUUUCCACUUGCCCUUCCUAUGAAUGCAAGUAAAGCAAAGCCUCUUGACAAAGCAAAUUAAGAGUAAUCAAUGGUUUGGGUUUUUUUUUUAAUUAUUAUUUCCUGUGACUCAAAUCAAACCUAUUUCUCAACUGUAACGUACGAAAAGAGAGAGAUCAAGUUGACAUUUAGGAAAAUUGAACAUUGAUAAGUAAAUUGCCUUCACUCAGUCUCUUAGGUCCUCUCUCCUUUCCCCCUACCCCACGACACCCCGUGGCCCUGCUCUCUCUCACACACACAGCUGAAGGUAUCUUUAAAGGGUACCUAUUUCCUGCAGAUCACGCUUAUGUUAAUCUCACUUCAAGUACAGAUGCACCGAGGACAUUACAGGGUCAGUCAUUCUUAUCCACAAAGCUUUAGAUUCCACUACAUUAUUCAAACUGGACAAUGGACUUCCCCAUUUUGUGCCCAGACUUGCUCACUAAUAGAGUGACCUCCUUGUUAUGGGUGAGGAUAUAUUUGAUGCUAAAACUGCUACAAAUUUUUAUCAGCAUUUAAUCUUGAGACUGUGAAUUACUACAUCCUGCAUGUGUUGGUACCUUACUUUGAUUAAAAAUGGGAUAAAUCAAUGAGAGAGUCUUUUUAUCCAAGGCCAUGUUCCUUUCACAUGAAGGUCAUAUACGGGCUAAUUGGACAAAAUAUAAAUCAUGUUUCUUUCCACAUUCAGUUUUAGAUCCUGACCUGUUUUGUGUCAAGAAAUCACAGGGAGCCCAACCUGUAUCAUCAAGAUUGUUUUGAUUUACAGAUGAUUUCCUUAAAUCAUAGCAUGAUGACAUUCAAUGCAAUUCCAAAAUUAAGGAAUGGAGAGUUCAGAAGGACAUUUAAAAAAAAAAUGCUUGUAGUGUUAUAGGAAAAAGUAAUCAGAACUUUGACUCCAUUUGCUUUCCUGUGUCAUAGAAAUGUUGAGGACAGGACAAAAAUAUAACUCCCACCAGUAAC